This 303-nucleotide ribosomal RNA is filed under the name uncultured bacterium. RNAcentral's name for it is "partial 16S ribosomal RNA". It matches the Rfam family "Bacterial small subunit ribosomal RNA", at positions 507 to 807 of the family's 1533-position model. The record is from RNAcentral.
AGCAGUAGCCGCGGUAAUACGGAGGGUGCAAGCGUUAUCCGGAUUCACUGGGUUUAAAGGGUGCGUAGGCGGAUCUGUAAGUCAGUGGUGAAAUCUCCAGGCUUAACCUGGAAACUGCCGUUGAUACUAUAGGUCUUGAAUUUUGUGGAGGUUAGCGGAAUAUGUCAUGUAGCGGUGAAAUGCAUAGAUAUGACAUAGAACACCAAUUGCGAAGGCAGCUGGCUACACAACUAUUGACGCUGAGGCACGAAAGCGUGGGGAUCAAACAGGAUUAGAUACCCGCGUAGUCCCUGUCUCUUAUAC